AGACUCUACCCUUUUAGUAAUAGGUCCACCAUAGAAAACUUUCUUUUGUCAAGUUUUAGAAGCUCUGCUACCUUUCCUAGUGUUGUAGUAUUUAAUCCUUUUAGUAAACCCGAUUUACAUUUCAUUCUCCAAAUAUUACAAGCCCUAUAAAACACAAAGAGAAGUGGUUGCAAGAAGACGAACCUUGCCUAACAAGGUCAUAAUCUUGCUCGAGUCUCUUUUGUCUGUACUUACAUAAAGUAGAUCUGUUGUUUUAUGCAUUUUUCAUGGUAUCUUACAUCAUUUUUUACUGCUUUUUGUUCAAAGUUUCAUCUAUGAUUAAUCUUGUUGAACUAAUUUACUUUGCUUCUUUAGUGUUAGCCAUAACCAAAGAGAUAAUCCGAAGGGCCCUGAAUUCCCCUUAAUUGGACAUAUGAUAUUAUGAAUAAAAGUCCUUGUUUACAAGGCAAGAAAAAGAAAUUUAUACAGACUUAACCCAUUUGUAACAAUCCAAUAGAAUGAAGAAGUCUAAGUAACUUGUGGUGCAAGUAAUCAACCCAAUUAAUAACCAAAAAAGAACAAUAUGUUAUACAAAGAUAACAGUGACAUGCUCAAAUCCAUAUUAGUUUUGAUUGUGAGCCUCAAGACCUAACAUAGACCCCACAAAGGCACCAUUCAAACUAAUAACAAACACAUAUUGCAGUACACCAAGCAGCAGACCUUGCCCGACAAGCAAGACCCAGGAGAGUUGUGCAAGGGACAGAUCUAGCCUGAAAACCACCUAAACAAUUGAGUACAAGUAGUUAGUUUUCCUUCCAAGUAACUAUCAUUUGAUAGACAUCAAUUUAUUUACUAAACAAAAAUGUGAUAGGCUCUUUUACAACAAGUGCAAGUGGUUGUGGUGGUGGAACACAUGUUCCCACUUUAGCUUCCCCCAGAAUUCACCUGUUGUGUCAAAUUUAUGUUCGUCUUCUGUUCCAAAAUGUUCAGAAACCAGUUGUGUCAAAAUUUGACACAGUACAAAAGUUUUGUGUAAUGGUCUUCGAAAUUCAUACUCAAUGUAAAAUAUAGUCACCACAUAUCCAAUGGAAACCAAGAAAAUCAAAGGCAAGAUGGACAUACCUUCCUCUCAGCACCCAACUUUAGCUUCCCCCAGAAUUCACCUGUAAUUACACAUUAAGAUAAGUGCAAUAAAUUUAACUUACUACCACAAAAUACCAGCAAACUGGUGGAAUUUAUUUUUGGUCAAUAAUUUAUCCACGGCAGAUGAAUAUAGAGUGUGUAUGUUAAAACAUACAAUGUUCGCCAAUUCCUUGCUUCUCCACUUUCAUUUUGUUAAACGAUCGAUUUAUUCGAUUAGAUGUUAGAUUAGAGAGUUGACAAGAUUUGAACCCAUGCCGUAGUGUAAAGGCAACACUCUUCUUCACCAUUGUGUUAGAGGGCCACUUGCUAUAUUUU
This 1437-nucleotide long non-coding RNA is filed under the name Malus domestica (apple). RNAcentral describes it as "long non-coding RNA (MDOM_LNC002987)". Lineage: Eukaryota; Viridiplantae; Streptophyta; Magnoliopsida; Rosales; Rosaceae. The record is from RNAcentral.